RNAcentral lists this ribosomal RNA (144 nucleotides) under uncultured bacterium. RNAcentral describes it as "partial 16S ribosomal RNA". It matches the Rfam family "Bacterial small subunit ribosomal RNA", at positions 348 to 509 of the family's 1533-position model. The record is from RNAcentral.
GCAGCAGUGGGGAAUAUUGCACAAUGGAGGAAACUCUGAUGCAGCGACGCCGCGUGAGUGAAGAAGUAUUUCGGUAUGUAAAGCUCUAUCAGCAGGGAAGAAAAUGACGGUACCUGACUAAGAAGCACCGGCUAAAUACGUGCC